This is a long non-coding RNA of Cannabis sativa, 528 nucleotides long. RefSeq lists it as uncharacterized. NCBI's taxonomy places the organism in Eukaryota, Viridiplantae, Streptophyta, Magnoliopsida, Rosales, Cannabaceae. The transcript has 3 exons. The record is from RefSeq and is a predicted model, not a curated record.
AUUAUUUGGCAUUUUAUUUGAUGAAUGAUAAUCUGAAAUUUAUUUGAAAUUAAUUGAGUAUUGAAAUGACUUAUUUACCCUUGUGAGGGUGUAGGUGUGAAUAAUAAGCCAUGAGGGCAUUUUGGUCAUUUGACCCUUAUUUACUAUGUUUGAUUAAAAUUGAUUUUUGAUGAAAUGAAAAGCAAUUUUCUGGUUUUGCUUUCCUCUUGGCCGACCCCCUCUCUCUCCCAAACCCUCUUGUUAUUUCAAGUUGAAUUUGAAGAAAAUUGGUGUGAAUUGGAGCUAAUUUUUGGAGCUUGAUUGUGGGGAUUAUUCUUGCUUAGUCUUGAGGAUUACCGGCACCUGGUCAGGAGCACCCGGGGAUUUGGAAUCUCUACUAUUGCGGGACAACAGGAAAGGGUAAGGCAUUAGCUGAUCAGCCAUGAGUUUCAGGAGCAGGGCGAAGAAUGUACAUGUUCAUGCCACUUCAGACCAAGCGGGUUAUGGGUCUAACAGUGUUGACUUUUGUAUUAUGUUUUGCCGCUUAGG